GAUGAACGCUGGCGGCGUGCUUAACACAUGCAAGUCGAACGGGAUCCAAGGAGCGUUUUUCGUUUUUUGGUGAGAGUGGCGAACGGGUGAGUAACACGUGAGUAACCUGUCCUUUUCUUUAGGAUAAGCUCCUGAAAGGGUGUUUAAUACCUUAUGUUCUGUCUGCCUCGCAUGGGGUGGGUGGGAAAGAUUUUUUCGGUGAAGGGUGGGCUCGCGGUCUUUCGGCUUGUUGGUGGGGUGGUGGCUUACCAAGGCUUUGUCGGGUAGCCGGCCUGUGAGGGUGAUUGGACAUGAGGGGAGGGCGAGACUGCCCCGGGUGCCGCGGGAGGCAGCUGUUGGGCAUAUGGCGCAAGGGGGGCAAGCCUGAUGCGGCUACGUCGCGUGGGGGAUGGGGUCCUUCGGGUUGUAAACUGCGUAAGCACUGAACAAGGCGCAUCUUUGGGGGGUGUGAAGUGUAGGGGUUGAUAAGCGCCGGCUAACUACGUG
Molecule: ribosomal RNA, 486 nt
Filed under: uncultured bacterium
Lineage: Bacteria
Description: partial 16S ribosomal RNA
Rfam family: Bacterial small subunit ribosomal RNA
Source: RNAcentral